UACGGGGGGAGCAAGCGUUGUUCGGAUUUACUGGGCGUAAAGGGCGCGUAGGCGGCACCGCAAGUCGACUGUGAAAUCUCCGGGCUUAACCCGGAAAGGUCAGCCGAUACUGCGGGGCUAGAGUGCAGAAGGGGCAACUGGAAUUCUUGGUGUAGCGGUGAAAUGCGUAGAUAUCAAGAGGAACACCUGCGGCGAAGGCGGGUUGCUGGGCUGACACUGACGCUGAUGCGCGAAAGCUAGGGGAGCGAACGGG
RNAcentral lists this ribosomal RNA (253 nucleotides) under uncultured bacterium. Its description in RNAcentral is "partial 16S ribosomal RNA". It matches the Rfam family "Bacterial small subunit ribosomal RNA", at positions 524 to 776 of the family's 1533-position model. The record is from RNAcentral.